UACUCUUUUUAUCUGUAAUGUUACUUCCAUUAUUAGAAGUGAGACACUUUUGUUAAUUAUUUAUUUAAAGAGGAUUGUGAGAUGGUAAAGAGCCAAGUGUUUUAAGAAAAAAAAUCUUUGUAGAUCUAAGUGGUGUAUUACUUGUUGUAAAAACUGUACAUUGCAAAUGUUUUACAAUACUGAAUGCACCUUUCCUAUUAAAAUUAUUGGUUUCUUACCAGAAGUAUUUUAGUGGGAUUAAUAAGUCUAUAAAGAAUCUCUGAGGUUUUGGAAGCAUUAACUAUAUUUGGUAAUUUUGAGACUUGGCUUAUUGUGUAUAGAAGUAAAGGAUUUGAAUAGUCUAUGGAGUUUUUCCAGACUGGGGGGUUAGGGAAAGGAAAAUAUUAUAUAUUUAUGUUUUCUUAAAAUUUUAAGUGCUCUUCUGUCCAUUGCCCCAGCUUCCAAUAAAAUAUGUACAUUUUUUUUCAGGAUCUGUUACAGUUUCUCUGUGUAUAUAAGGACUAGCUCAGAAAUGCUGUUACAGCUUCUUCACAGUGUAUACUCUGUGAUGUGCCAUAGGCAGUGCUGAAUAUUUUUCUUUAUAGUAUCCUGUUUUGCUUAGUGCAGCCAUCAUGUAGCAUACCUCACAAUUUCUUGAACCAGGGGGAUAAGAAUACAGUAGUUACAUAUCUGCAUAACUAAAUGAAAGGGUGACAAAAUGCCAGAGAGGAAGGUACUGCACUGGACAUUGAGAAGAUUAAGUAAAAUGAAGAACCAACAAAUUUGACGAGACUGGGACAUGAAAAGCAGACCUACCUUAAGCAUGGCAUGUGGAACAAAGCUUUUAGAGAGCUUUGUGAAGGUGGUGGGAGUAGUGACUUUGCCCUUUGUGACCACUGAUGUACGUGUGCUGUUACGUCAAGAAGGCAAGAAAUCAUCCAGCUUUUUAGCAACGGAAGUAGCAUGGCUAUAAGGGAGAAGAGGGAUAUAUCCUAACCUUACUCAGUAGUCAAGCUAAUUUAUCAAGGUAAAUAAUCUCCUGUGUCUUAGAAAAACAUAGGCAUAAUUAGUUUAUAAUCUAAAUAUAUCUUCAGCUUUAGAAAACAAUGUUAUGUACUUCUGAUGAGCUGUCGAGCUAGACUGAUUAUUAAUCAGAGAAAAUAAUUGUUUUAAAAACGUGUACUUCCUUAAUUUCUCUCAUUUCUUAACUUUCUUGAAUUCUGUUUUUAAACAAUAAAGAUUAAAGUAGUCCUAAUAACUAGCUUUGU
Molecule: long non-coding RNA, 1247 nt
Filed under: Manacus vitellinus (golden-collared manakin)
Lineage: Eukaryota; Metazoa; Chordata; Aves; Passeriformes; Pipridae
Description: lncRNA (ENSMVIG00005003497.1)
Source: RNAcentral